Molecule: ribosomal RNA, 476 nt
Filed under: uncultured bacterium
Lineage: Bacteria
Description: bacterial SSU rRNA
Rfam family: Bacterial small subunit ribosomal RNA
Source: RNAcentral
AAAUCAACGCUGGCGGCGUGCCUAAUACAUGCAAGUCGAACGCGAAAGUCCCGCAAGGGGCGAGUAGAGUGGCAAACGGGUGAGUAACGCGUGGGCGACCUACCUUCGAGUGGGGGAUAACCUUCCGAAAGGAGGGCUAAUACCGCAUGACAUCCCGUGUUUGGAUACACGGACAUCAAAGCUGGGGAUCGCAAGACCUGGCGCUUGAAGAGGGGCCUGCGUCCGAUUAGCUAGUUGGUGGGGUAACGGCCCACCAAGGCUUCGAUCGGUAUCCGGCCUGAGAGGGCGGACGGACACACUGGAACUGAGACACGGUCCAGACUCCUACGGGAGGCAGCAGUAGGGAAUUGUUCGCAAUGGGCGCAAGCCUGACGACGCAACGCCGCGUGGAGGAUGAAGACUUUCGGGUCGUAAACUCCUUUCGACCGAGAUGAAUAUUCACCGGCUUAAUACACCGGUGAACUGACAGUAUCGAG